RNAcentral lists this long non-coding RNA (4862 nucleotides) under Homo sapiens (human). RNAcentral's name for it is "HSALNT0052388". Lineage: Eukaryota; Metazoa; Chordata; Mammalia; Primates; Hominidae. The record is from RNAcentral.
AUUGCGCCACUGCACUCCAGGCUGUGCUACAGAUACUCUGUCUCAAAAAACAAAAAACAAAAAAAAAUAAAUUUCAUGCUAUCCCAAAGACUAACAAUGGCCAAGUAGGCUCUUAAGACAAAGGAAUGUUAUUAUAUAUAAUGAAUAAUUCUUCAUGUACAAAUUCAGUAUUACAGAAUACCUCCACAUAGCUAGUUCCCUAAAAUCAUACCUAAAAUAUUACUAAAUGUUCAGAAAGUUUAAGGCAUCCUGUUUUUGUAUUACUUAAAUUCAAAGCUGUUAUUAACAAUUAAAUUUUAUUCUACAAAUUUAUUGUGAUCAGAGGUUACAUCAGUAUCCAAACAAUAUCCAUUUUUUGUUUUUAAGGUUAAGUCAUAAAAGAAAUCUAAGGACCUACACAAAGUGACUUAUGGAAGAAGACAACGUAUUGUCUUAAUGCUGAAGAGUGGUCAUACCUUGAAAUGCUUAGUUUUUGGAGAUCUCUGCUCUUCAGAUUGUCUUCCUGAUAUGGAUCCUGUCAUUUGUUUAAAAAAAAGAAGUUUAAAAGUUGUAAUUUUUACAAUUUAUUUAGUCUCAGCUCUUUCUUACCAGAGACAUGUUCAGGUUUUACAGAAUAUAUCUGUAAGUGCAAAGAAUACAAUUAGAUUUUAUACUCAAUUUUAAUGAAAUACCUCCAAUCUAUAACAAAUAUCUCUAAAUCACGUCCAAUGGUUUAAAGUAUUAAUGCUUUAAUUUUCUUUAAAAGAAUAAAAUUGCUCUCAUUCUGUAAAAGACCUUGUAAUCUUACAAAAUAUAUUUCUAAAGACACCAAUCUGAAGUGUAUAUUCAAAAAAGUGUUACACAUUUGUCACAUUUCUGUUUACUUAUGGUAUGGGUGAAUGAAUUCUAUGGGAAAAUGGAAGUUUUUUUGGUAUUUCACUUUUUCGUAGUAUUACCAAAAACACACCAGAAUUUUAACAGGUUACUGUUGUAAAACAUCAGCAUACAUUUCCUCCUUCCACAUGGAUUAAAAAUGACCUGGCAAGGACAUCAUAAAGUCCUUAUAUGCUUUUAAAUUCAGUUGAUUUAGGUUGCAGAUAUGACAGAACCUUCAGAAGAUAUUUUUAAAUGACUUAGUAUGUUUGAGACAACUCUAACACACUUGUUUGCAAUGCAUUCUCAUUUAAGGAUCUGUAACAAAUGAAAAUGAUUAUCACAGGUACUAAUUCUCCUGGCAGAUGUGGCCAGUAUAAGCUCAGAAUACAAAUUUUAAUUUUAUUAUUUCUUACUAAUACAAUCUAAAUUAUAUAAUUUGCAGUGAAACAUUAAAAAGCAACACAAGGACUUCAUGAGUACUCUCAACUUGAGAGUAAAAUGUGAAAAAUACCUAAUCUUAUAGGAGUUAAAACAUUUCUGGAUCUCUGAUUUUAAUACUCUAACAGUUAAGUUAAAUCUUAGGGAGCCCUAAGGAGAGGGGAAACAGAACUGGCCCACAGGUCCAGGAGGUUUGACCACUAACGAGACACAUGUCCUUGGACCUUGUUUUUUCCUGUGCCUUACAGGAAAUAAUGGAAUCUGAUCAGAUCACUUUUAGUAUCCUUGUAUCAUGAAUUAAAAUUUUUUUUUUAAAAAUUAGUAUAUACUUAUGCAUAUGUUCAUUGAAAACCUUCCUCAUUUUUAAAGCCAACAAUAUAAAAAAAUUUGACAGUUUGAGUGGGAAAAUGUUUUUCCAACUACUAUCUAACAAUUCAGAGACUCUAAUGUACAUCAGCAGUAAGCUCAUAGAGACUGUAUCUAGUAUUCAAAGACCCUUUUGUUGGCUAGUAAUAGAUCACCUAUGUCCUAAAGGUGGUAAUGGAUCUGUUCCCUAACUAGUGCCACAUGAUGUGGGAGUUUCAUAUAAGGUGAGGCCCAUGGCUACAAAAUCUUGGGAAAUAAUGUUCAAGUUAUAUAGGUUUCUAUACUAUAGCAGAACCUUUAAUAUACUACAGUACACUGUGAAUCUCUAACUGGGCUACCGUUAUUAGGGACUUUAGACGUCUUCUAAACCAACUUAAUUUUACUGAUCUAGUAUCUCUUUUACUUCUUUGGCCCUAGAGUCUGUAUUUCUCACAGGAUCAAUGGUUCUGAAUAUAAAUGGCUGGAAUAUUAGGGGACACAGAAAGUCUAAAAGGCCCAUAGUGGAACUGCCCCUGAAACCUCACUAACAUGAAAUAUUAAUGAACUGAGUUCCCUCACUAAAUAUUUAAAAAACAAACAAACAAACUAAAACAACACUAUUAUAUCCAUGUAGGAUGCUAUUACAUACUUCAGAAGGUUUUAUAAAAUGCUUCACUGAAAGCAUCAUCUUAAAAAUUUUUUUUAAAAUGGCUAGACUAAUGUGAGCUAGAGUAAUAUGGCUAGAGUAUUGUGAACAUAAAUUUCUCUCCUUGGCUUCCUCUCAGAUUCCUGUCUCCAAGAGGAUUCUGAUCAGCAACAUCACUGAAACAAGAUUUGAAAGUAUGCAUCAAGAUUUCAACUUGGAAUCCUUGAUAAACUUUUAUUUCCACUCUUCCUUUUCUUUGUUCAUUUCUUUUAGUUGUGAGUGAGCCCUUUUUAACUUCACAGCCUCACCCUACCCCUAAUAAAUGCCUGUGAAGGUGGGGGCCAUGUUAUAAAUAUUUCUUUUUCAAUAUUCCUCUCUUAGCUCAUCUUCAACUGUUUAAAGUUUCCUGUCUCUCAGAUUUAACUUAGUCAUCAGUUAAAGAAAGUGAUUUCUUCUACCUCUAAAAGUCUGUUUCUGUGAUUUGGUUACUUAUGACAGAUGAAUUUAAACUAAAAGCAAAUUUAUUCCCUAGCACCAUCUAGUGGAAAAGAAUAACUAAAAUGCUAAGAAUAGAAAUUUCAAUACACAUAAAUACCUAAAAGUACUGCCCUUCUGGAUUACUCUAAUCAAAUUUUUUAAAAAAGCAUUUACCUACUGAACAUACUAUAUAAUGGCCACUAUGAUAACUGGCUGUGAUUAAUAUAUUAAGUCCUGUAAGCAUGAUAGUAAUGUUUGAUCAGGAGCAUAAAACUGUGUCCCCUAAUAUUCCAGCCAUUUAUAUUCAGAACAGUUGAUCCUGUGAGAAAUACAGACUCUUGGGCCAAAGAAGUAAAAGAGAUACUGGAUCAGUAAAUGAAGUUGGUUUAGAAGACGUCUAAAGUCCCUAAUAACUGCUUUAUAUACACUAAUUUAACCUUCAUGAAAAAAGGUAUUUAAUGUCUACUUUACAGAAAACAACUUCCCAAAAGUAAAAUGGUGUUCCUAAUGUUAACAGUUAAUAAGCAACACCAAAAUUAUGAGCUAAGUUUCCGAUUCCAUGGUACUGCUUGCUACACUACAACAAAAUAUCUAUCACGUAUAAAGGCUAUCAAAUUUCCUUUCAAACAGAAUAUAAAUAAUGACAAUUAUAAUUCAGAAUUUCAAGGUCCAUAUCUUUUCCUGUAAACCCAUCUUUUGAAAAGAGGCUUCUCAGUGGUGAUGGUAACUGAGCUGUAGAACAGGAUGCUGAGUCUUUGAAGGAAUUGUGGUGUGUGGCCACAAGCUCAAAGCUGGGGGAAUCAACUUUGUAAGUAGGAAAAAAACCACUUUGACUCUAACGGGAGUUGACAGUAAUUUUUGUAGUGUUUCCUUUUAUCAGGGAUGGGGGUGCCAAAGGGAGUUCUCAUUGCCCAGUUCAGAGGAAUUCAUUUGGCCAAGGACUAGGCAGACUGCUAUAUUAUUCUUAAUGUCUGGCUCAUUCUUAUCGAGUGGUCACCUCUCAUAAAAACUACAUUAGAGAAGAAAGAAGUAUCAGCUCCAUCUAAGAACACUUGAGAUUCAGGGCAGAAUCUGGAAAGCAGUCAGGAAGUAUGGGAUGGAGUUCCCCUUUCAGAUGGUGGCAUCCCAGAGGAACAAGAAGAAACACAAUUCCUCAAUAGUGUUAGAAUGCUUUGGUAGGCAAAAUGGUUGAGUGGAGAAACAUUAUAUAACUGGUUAUACCUUAGUUUGAGAUACAUGAAUGCAUAAAAUGGCUAUUUGCACCAGACUACUAAGCUUUUCAAUUUCUUGUAAUAAUUAUUUAAAAUCUGCAUUUGGUGCAUUGCUCUCACACUACCUUGCUUCUUUAUCAUUUCUUCUUUUAAUCUCAGCACUGUCAUGAUGUCUGAAAACAUAGAUCCAAGCUUGUUAGAACCUGAUGUAAAAUACUGGGCAAACAGACUCUUGGUGAGGACCUAAAAGGCAUCUUGUUUUAGUGGUUGACUUCAGGCUAAACACACUUCAGCAACUUGGCAGGUUUUUGUUAUUUUUUUCCAAUUCUUGAAUUCUCAGAUAUUUGCUGGUAGUUAAAGAUGCCCCCAAAGUAUUAGUCUUUUGAAAAUAAGUAAGCUCUGUCAUGUUUUCUUUGUUGGUCGUGUUUUUCUUUGUUGUUGUUUUAAUUAUAAAAAUCGAGUUGUCCCUUAUGAUAUCUAAAUUAAUGAAACUAUUAAGUAAAAUAAUAUAGGACUUAAAACCUGAGUUCUCUUUAAACUUUACAGAGAAAAGGAAAUUGAAGGAAAGAGAGUCUGAAAGAACAGUUAUAAUAAACUAAUAAGCUUACUAAAAAUCAACCUUUUAAAAAACAAAAUUGUAUAAUUUUGUGACAGACUAAAAGUAUAUGGCAUGUCAAAUUUUAGCAGAAAUGCUUAAAGAGGUAGAUAAACAAGAAUUUUUUAAGGAAUAGAACAUUCUCUAAAUAAUUACAAUUUAUUUUAACUCUAUGGUUUAAUACAAUCUUAGUUAUAAAUCCUACAUAUGAUACACAAAAAAUACUGAAAUUCUCAAUUUAAUAAUUCUGUAAUACCGUUUGUUUGGCUUUCUGUAGUUCUAUUUUGAGAUCGCU